UUGACCUUUCCAUUUUGCAUUUACCUCCCAAAUUUCAGAAUUUGAGGUCGUCCAAACGAGACUUGUUUUAUACCCUAACUCUAAAUCCUAAAUUCUCAAAAUUUUCAAAACCUCUGGUUUAGAGUCGAUUGAUUGUGGGUAUGUGUUUGAAUCAUUUGUUGAUAACUUCAUAACUUUAAUUUUGCUUUUGAUUGGUGGGAAGAAUAUUUCCACGGUUCUUAAAUUGGAUAGCUUUACAGCUCUGGUUUUGCUAUUGAAUGGUGGGAAGAAGAUUUCCAUGGUUUUGAAAUAUCAAAAGCUUCAUCGACCUACCACACUUUGGCUACAAAAUUUUUUCCCCUCCCAAUAUUAGAACCGGGCAGUAGCUUAGCACCCCAAAUCCUAAAUCUCAUUUUUUUUCAAUACAGUGUUGAUUGGUGUGAAGAAGAGGAAAUUUCCGAGCUAACGACAGAAAAUCCGACGGAUUUAUUCCUAGGGUUUCUCUCACACCCUAAUCUAUCUCUCUACUCAACAAUUAUCCAUUUCUCUCUUUGUUUUUCAUCGCUUUCUCUCUUUUUGUCCUUCCAAGCAAACUCUGAUCAGUUAAACCCUUUCUCCCCAAAUGCAGAAGGUUUGAUAUAUAGCUUCAUUGGCGAUUCGGUGUGGAAUGGCCUGCUACUGAAAGGAAGGAAAAAAGCUAAACGCUUAAGGUUUAAUUUCCACCGAAAAUUGGUCUUCUGCCAAUCACAAAAGAAUUAUAGGUUAAUUGGAGUACGGAAGCAUCAUGAAUUCAUGUUAUGGAGUUGUUAUGUUAUUCUUUAUUAGGAAUUGUAAUUAUUCAAAAUGGAUAAUCUCUAUGACUUUUAUUAAGGAUGUUUAUUAAUGGAAGUAAUGUGUGAUUCAUUCUGAA
Molecule: long non-coding RNA, 889 nt
Organism: Cornus florida
Lineage: Eukaryota; Viridiplantae; Streptophyta; Magnoliopsida; Cornales; Cornaceae
Exons: 2
Source: RefSeq, a predicted model, not a curated record